RNAcentral lists this ribosomal RNA (305 nucleotides) under uncultured bacterium. Its description in RNAcentral is "bacterial SSU rRNA". It matches the Rfam family "Bacterial small subunit ribosomal RNA", at positions 334 to 632 of the family's 1533-position model. The record is from RNAcentral.
UGUUCCUAGGGGGGCAGCAGUAGGGAAUCUUCCACAGUGGGCGAAAGCCUGAUGGAGCAACGCCGCGUGGGUGAAGAAGGUCUUCGGAUCGUAAAACCCUGUUGUUAGAGAAGAAAGUGCGUGAGAGUAACUGCUCACGCUUCGACGGUAUCUAACCAGAAAGCCACGGCUAACUACGUGCCAGCAGCCGCGGUAAUACGUAGGUGGCAAGCGUUAUCCGGAUUUAUUGGGCGUAAAGGGAACGCAGGCGGUCUUUUAAGUCUGAUGUGAAAGCCUUCGGCUUAACCGGAGUAGUGCAUUGGAAA